GGUCCGAACGUAUUCGGACAGUUUGAGAGUCGGUGUUGAAGAUGCCUUUAGUGUAUUUUCAUGGUUAUUUAUCAAUCAAAAUAUACAAAGUUUGUAUUUACUCGACCAAACGUUUAGUCUAACUAAUGAGUUUGACUCUAUCACCAUGAUAGAGUAUAUUAUCUUCUUCUAUUUAUUGAUUAUUAGUAGCGAGCUACACAUGCUUCUUUUAUUGACUCUAUUAUUAGAGCAUCUUCUUCCUCCCGGUCGAACGCACUCAUCGGCAUCGCUUCCAGAAAUCCAGAUCCAAAUAGCGACGACCUCCGUCUCCGAUCUUGAGAGAGGAGGCAGCUGGACGCCCUCAACAGUCAACACAGAGGAGGUGAUCCAGCAUGUCGACGAACACGAAGCCUAAGCGCGGUGCUCGCCCAGGAUGCCCGCGGAGCCGACAUCCUAGUGGCCAGGGUGAGCAACUGCCAUGGCAACGACGGGAGAGGAGGCUUGCGCUCCGUGUGCGGACGUCGUCCUCCGCGCGCAAAGUUUCCGGGGUCCACCCGAACCUGGUGAGCUGCCGUGCAGCGUGGAGGGCGAGCAGCACAGCGUUGCCUGACGUUCCAGGCUUCAACCACGAGGAGAUCCGGAAAACAUCACGCACACGCAUCGCCGGGAGUUCUUGCCGGGGCCACGGGCUACCUCGCUCCGGAGCGAGGCACGGAACGGGGGUUGUCGCCGCCGAGUGCUCCAUGUAGGCGAGGAGCUUCUGCCCACGGCGAACGGCAGGGUGUAUCUUCCGUGCCAGACUCCAUGUCGACACACGACGGCCAAGAGGUGUGGCCGUGUGGGUGGAGGAUGCCAAGACCGAUGAUGAGAGAAGACCGACGCCGGCGAAUCCUCCUUGGUGCCAGCUGACUCCGCUUCCUCCCUCCGCACAGGUACCUACCGCGCGCCGGGAUCCAUUCCCUUACUACUAGUCAGUACUACAUGCCUUGUUGUAACUGCACCAUGGCUUCCAAGGGAGCUCGAUCUCUCCCUCGUCUUAUAGAAGAAGAAGAUGAAGUUGCUUGAGCCGCGUGCACGACGACGGGUGGGACGCGUAGCCGACGUCUCCGUCUCCGUUCCUUUUCUUUGGAACUAGCUAGCUAGAGUCUUUUCUUCUUUCUUUUUUCUUUGCAACCAAGGCUUCCUAGCUAGCUAGAGUAGAUGUUUUUUUAACAUAGUACAAAUUCUGACGUUCAUACAUUCGCACAUACACUACCCUAUAAACACAUGCAGACACAUCCUAAUCAUAUGAGCACCUCCGAAAAACUGACCCGGCACAUCGUUGCUACACAAAUCAGAUUCAAAUUGAAUAAACAUAAAAGGUGAAAGUUGAUGGUGUGAGCUCAUAUGUAGGCCCAACAAUCUUCACAAAUAAACAAAUGCACUUUUACCCAUCUAUGAUACCUGCAAUUUUUAAAAAAGGAUAAAUACAAUUAGUGGACAGGCUCCAAGUAAGAGGAAGAGGGAGAUUUGAGAGUGGGUGGGCUUGGUCGGCCCCGCCUAAGGAGGAGAUGGCAGUCCGAGGACGAUGAGGAGGGUGUUGACGGUGACGGUGAAGAAAUUGAAGGAUAUGCUUUAGCGGAUGCAUAUUCUAAAUUCUAAACUAGAGAUGACGACCUUGAUAUAUACGCUUUCUGUAUUCUUCACAUCUCAAUUUCUAUUAACAGGCAGAGUACUCUCAAGAGAAUUCUUAAAGUGAAGAGACCUCAACGUUUACAUAUACAAAUGACUCUAGAAUUUGUUGUCUAAACAUAAAAGGGAAAAUACAACAACAUAUGACUCAACAAUCAACCCAUGUAUAGAUAAUGGAGUAGGAGUCAUCUCAUCGCCCAAGAUGAACUAGAUUAAGGAAUCAUCCCCAUAUCAUCGCUAGUGUACAAGAAGUCGUCGAAGGGGGACUGCGUCCAUGAGUUAUUCUCUUCCGCGAGGUAAUUGGUGAACCAGGAGUGUCCAGAGUUGUCCCCAUCCACGCUGGUGCCGCCGGUCAUAGGCUGCAUCGCUUCUUGGUCCUUGUUGGCCCUAUCAGCGAGAAUCUGCAUCUCUCCAUUGCCCGUGUCGUCACCAUCGGUGAGGAACUGCUUCUCUCCCUCAUCGGUGUCAACACCAUCGACCUCAGACUCGAUCUGUAUGGGAUUCUGGUAUGUGCCCAAUGCACCGAACGCGAACUGCAUCAGAUCCUUGUUCGCGUUGGCAGCAUCGGACUCGGACACGACAUGUAUGGGAUCCAUGUCUGUGCCAACACCUCCGAGGACGGACUGCAUGAAAUCAUUCUCCAUGCUGGCACCAUCGGGCUCAGCCUGGACCUGUAUGGGAUCCUUGCCUGUCCCGAUUCCGUCGAGCAUAGACUGCAUGACAUCCUGGACCGAGUCGCCGCCGCCAAGCAUGAACUUGUUCAGAUCCAUGUUCGGGCUGGUGCUGCAGGACCCGUACUCCAUCAUAACCUUGUCCAUCUUGACACCACCAAGCAUGAAAUGCUUCGGAUCCUGGCCUGAGUCGGCGUCGCCACACACAUACUCCAUCCGAUCCUUGCCUAUGUUGAUGACGCCGGGCACGAAUUGCAUUAGAUCCUCGUCUGUGUCGACAUCACCGGACGCAUUCGUUGACGGGGACGCCAUGUUCUUGUUGAAGACCCGACACAACGCGUAUGUGUCCUGAACAAAUCAAUCAUGCAAGUGUAUGUGAGGCGUGGAGCUCAAUUACUAUAUCAACAAAAGAAGAAGAAAAAUGAAGAUACCUGUAUGUGGUGGCCGUGGAGACGGUACUCGUGCAUGACCCAGUCGGUCCGUGUGCCGCUAGGUGCUUUGCCGAUGUGGAACACAAGCGUCUUCUUCAUGCCGACGACGAUGCCCUUGUGCAUUACGGGGCGGUCCUUCCCGGUGGACUUCCAGAACCCUCUGGGCGUCGCCCGUUCCAUGCGAAGCCCGGUUGGGUACUUCCGCCCCCUCGGCGCGAACAAGUACCACUCAACUUUGGCCCCAGGGUCGCUUGUGCUCGGUGAGAAUGAUUUGCCUGUGCGCGCAUGCAUGCAGGUGAAAACACAUGGAACAUAAGUCAAUUGACAAGAUAUACUAGUUGACUUGGAAAGAAAACUCAACUUAAUCGCUGCUAGUAGCUAGUAAAAUGUAAAAGGAAAUCAAGUCAAUUUUCAUAUAUACUGUACUGCGGUGAUCUUCCGUGCAAAACAGGCCUAAAUUCAACUGAUGCGAUUUCUCUUUUUGUGUGAGGUGUAACUGCUGCAUCGGUUGAUGCCGAGGCAGGGGGUUUUAACCUCCUUUUUUUUAAAAAAAGGAGCGAAUACAAAAAAUUGGCCCUUAGGUUUGUUUGUUAUGACAAAAUUGAUGAUCCAAAAUGGUGAAAAACAUCAUGAAAAUCAAGUUAACACCGCAGCGAUCUCUUUCUUAAUUGUACUGAUCGGUUUACACGAAUGUGUCUGAUUUGAAACAGGUGACCUCCGUAUAUAUAUAUAUAUACCUGGUAGGUGGUGGGGUUGGAGCUUGUAGAGGUCCACCUCCGGGAUGAAGCAGCCGCCGUGUCCCAGGACCUUGCGCCGGAGGUAGAAGCUG
This 3581-nucleotide long non-coding RNA is filed under the name Triticum aestivum (bread wheat). RNAcentral's name for it is "long non-coding RNA (TAES_LNC021581)". Lineage: Eukaryota; Viridiplantae; Streptophyta; Magnoliopsida; Poales; Poaceae. The record is from RNAcentral.